Molecule: long non-coding RNA, 759 nt
Filed under: Capsicum annuum
Lineage: Eukaryota; Viridiplantae; Streptophyta; Magnoliopsida; Solanales; Solanaceae
Description: long non-coding RNA (CANN_LNC011652)
Source: RNAcentral
UCAAGUGCAUACCAGUACAUUCAAUUAUACUGACCCAGUUGUGCUAUGGUAUUUUAUACCAUAGGUUUAGAAGCACGAGCUCUCGAGCAUCCUUAGUAGAUCAGACGUUCAGCAACCAGACUUACAGUAAGUCCUAAUCAUUCGAGGAUAACAUGAUUAUUUUAUUACUUUAUUAUUUCAGUACUUCGAAGUUAGUUGGGGACAUGUCCCAUCAACUCCACAGUUUUCAGACAGUUUAGAGGAUUUCAGACUACAAUAUAUUUUAGAUAGUUUAUUUCAAUUUUGGGUACUGUUAUACUCCAUUACAGACAUUGUUUUACAGUCAGUAUUAGUCCAGUUUUGAACCUUAUAGCCUUACAGCUUAUAUUCUGCAUAUUUACAGUAUAUUAUUCAGUGCUCAAUUACAGAUAUCGAUCAUAGGUUAGCUUGUUGUCCUUCAGAGUCAUGAGCACCGUGUAACGCUUCGGGUACUAGAUUUGGGGCGUUACAUUAACAUGAGCAAUUACACCCUAAAUAAUGAUAUGAAAAAUAUAACAUUACCAAGUGCUAUAUUGUGUUUUCCCCUUGAGAUGUCCACCUUGUGGCCCCUUUUCUCCCUUCCAUGAUUAACACAUAGGAAUAUAUCAUCUAGAGUACAAUCACUAACCAACGUACCAUAAUGGGUUUUAUUGAUACGUAGAUUCUCUAUCACCACUCACAUUACUCUAUUUCACCCUCAACAAUCAAUCAUUUAUAAUCAACCAGCUUUUUAGUUAUUAC